This 494-nucleotide ribosomal RNA is filed under the name uncultured bacterium. RNAcentral describes it as "bacterial SSU rRNA". It matches the Rfam family "Bacterial small subunit ribosomal RNA", at positions 8 to 518 of the family's 1533-position model. The record is from RNAcentral.
AGGGUUCGAUUCUGGCUCAGGAUUAACGCUGGCGGCAUGCCUAAUACAUGCAAGUCGAAUGGUUUAGCUUGCUAGACCAUGGCGAACGGGUGAGUAACACGUAGGUAACCUACCUUAAGGACGAGGAUAACCUUUUGGAAACGAAGGAUAAUACUGGAUAGGACAUUACAAAGCACAUGCUUAAAUGUUUAAAGGAGCAAUCCACCAUAAGAGGGGCCUGCGGCGCAUUAGCUAGUUGGUGAGGUAAAGGCCCACCAAGGCGAUGAUGCGUAGCUGGACUGAGAGGUUGAACAGCCACAAUGGGACUGAGAACGGCCCAUACUCCUACGGGAGGCAGCAGUAGGGAAUUUUCGGCAAUGGGCAAAAGCCUGACCGAGCAAUGCCCGCGUGAUCGAAGAAGUAUUUCGGUAUGUAAAGAUCUUUUAUCGGGGAAGAAAAGACAGAUUGACUGAACCUGAUGAAUAAGCUCCGGCUAACUACGUGCCAGCCGCUGC